This 64-nucleotide transfer RNA is filed under the name Tenebrionoidea sp. 1 KM-2017. RNAcentral describes it as "tRNA-Ala". Lineage: Eukaryota; Metazoa; Arthropoda; Insecta; Coleoptera. The record is from RNAcentral.
AGGAUAAUAGUUAAUUAUAACAUUUAAUUUGCAGUUAAAAAGUAUUGGCUACCAAUUUAUCUUU